AUGUGGCGGAAUGAAAAUUUGUAUUUUUUGUCUUUCGUGACUCCAGCAGAUCGAUUGUGUUACAUGAAAGGCUACGGAGCACUGUUUCAUGGGCGCGGAACAGAGCUCACCUUUGGUGAGAGCUAUCCAGAUCUCAUUAAAGGUGGCUAUGAAUCCCUAACCCAGGUGCAACUAGGACGGGAGGCACUACUCCGUGCUAUCCACAUAAUGGCUAAUUAUGAUCCUAGGAUUACCCCUGAGGAAGACAUCAAAGUUGCUGUUCUCACCAUGACCAUCAUGGGACCGGAAUCUCUGAGGUUUAAUGGUGUUCGGGCAAUAUUUACAGCAGAUCUGGACAAGAUAAAAAAGCUUGAGCUAUAUGGAGGAACAGAGAAGUUGCAUGGUAUCCUUGAUAUGAUGCUGAGGCCCCAAAGAAUGGACGACAAUGGAGGUUUAAAGACGAAGGAGCCGAAGCCGAGGAAGCCCAAGGAGUAG
Molecule: ribosomal RNA, 474 nt
Filed under: Triticum aestivum (bread wheat)
Lineage: Eukaryota; Viridiplantae; Streptophyta; Magnoliopsida; Poales; Poaceae
Description: partial small subunit ribosomal RNA
Source: RNAcentral